This 974-nucleotide small RNA is filed under the name Drosophila pseudoobscura pseudoobscura. Its description in RNAcentral is "GA28832". Lineage: Eukaryota; Metazoa; Arthropoda; Insecta; Diptera; Drosophilidae. The record is from RNAcentral.
GCUUUUGAUCAGAACCUGUCUCCUAUAUGCAUAUCUAUCAGAAUUAAAUAGGUGGUCAAAAACUGUCGACAAACUAAUGUAUGGGCCUGGUCGUAAAGUGCAGUCUAAAUUUCCAUUGUAGGGACCGUACAACUCUCGUCCUUGCCAGUACGUGUGCGUGAUCCAGGCAAUGUCAAGUACGCCCACCGCUUACUAUUGCUAAUAUUCACCCUUAACAUCCGCUAGCCCAGUCCGUAACAAUGCAAGAUAACUGCCACCAUUAACAGUCUACGAUUUCAGUCUGUAAGCAGAAUUAAAUUGAGUGCAUUCAACAACAACACAACAGAAAACGAAACGAAACGAAACCAAAAGUAAAUGCGAAAUACUACAAAAAUCUGUUACAAGUUCGAAUAAACCCGCAGCAAAGAUACUCCGAAAAUGAGGCGCACUCUUUGGCACAUGCUCACGGCCCAGCUCCUGCUCCUGGUACUCUGUUCGCUGCUCUCUCUCUGCUCCGGCGGCAAUAUGCAUCCUUUGAAAGUGGGCAAAAACUAUGCGUCGCUGCACAACCAGCCCAAGGACUUUCGCUCUUUAGUGAUGGAUAUUAGCAAGUUUGUUCUCACUAUUGUGAGCAGAACGCGUUGAGUCACGUUUUUUUUUGUUUAUUGUUAAUUUUUUUUGAGCACGUAUUCCUUAUUUAUAGAAAGCAAAAGCUUUUUCCUCCAUCUAAUCUGUCCAAAGAUCUGACUAGUACCAUAUCUAUUACUAAGCUGGCGUCGAGAUUUGAAUUCCAAUCUGAGUCCUGCCCCCCAUUCAAUUCAGAGUUCCAAAAUUCUCCAUUAAAGACCGACAGAAAGGCCAGCGACCAGCAGAUCAGUGCAGAGACCGACAAUCAUUGCCAAAGCAACGCAAAGCCUGGCCUCGAACUGAAUUUACAAUAAAAAUUCUUAAUUCUUGGUACAAAAAUUUCUGUAUUUAGCUGAUGAAAAUAAUUU